This 83-nucleotide microRNA precursor is filed under the name Fasciola hepatica (liver fluke). Its description in RNAcentral is "microRNA fhe-mir-125b precursor". Its record names the gene fhe-mir-125b. The record is from miRBase by way of RNAcentral. Lineage: Eukaryota; Metazoa; Platyhelminthes; Trematoda; Plagiorchiida; Fasciolidae.
CCCCUGAGACUGAUAAUUGCUCCUCUGUCAGAUUGCUGCACGCACUGAUUUUCCUCUCGGAGCAAUUUUCUCUCUCAGGUAUG